AUGAAUGAUGAUAGAUUACUUCAUUCUUCUCUGUUGUUGUUUUGUUUUCAGUUUGGCCACCACUCUCCUGGCUAUCCUACCUAUGUCAAUCAAACUAUUGGUGAACCCUACUCUAUGGCAGUUCAAACUUCCCUUGACCAAGUAUGCCUACUACUGAAUGACCUCCCUCUGCCAGCCAUCUGUUUUUUACAGGUCUCCCUGUUCACUAUGCUGCCAUUGUUACUGAAGGAUGGUCUGUUGGUGCCGUACGUGGUCACCUCCCUGGCCUUCCUGUUCGUCAGCGUAUACCUGCUUUUCCACCCUUGGAGCAUUGCUCAGAAGACGAGCUGCGUCUGGGGCCCUACCACCGCCCCAUCCGUAUGCCCAGCAUGGACCUCGGAAGGGUCACCAAGUGGAAAUUCUACAUCUCCAUCGUGGCCAUGGCUGGUUUGUGCUUUAUGA
This 441-nucleotide long non-coding RNA is filed under the name Oncorhynchus mykiss (rainbow trout). RNAcentral describes it as "lncRNA (ENSOMYG00000001083.2)". The record is from RNAcentral. Lineage: Eukaryota; Metazoa; Chordata; Actinopteri; Salmoniformes; Salmonidae.